This 497-nucleotide ribosomal RNA is filed under the name uncultured bacterium. RNAcentral's name for it is "partial 16S ribosomal RNA". It matches the Rfam family "Bacterial small subunit ribosomal RNA", at positions 28 to 507 of the family's 1533-position model. The record is from RNAcentral.
GAUGAACGCUGGCGGCGUGCCUAAUACAUGCAAGUCGAGCGAACAGACAAGAAGCUUGCUUCUCUGACGUUAGCGGCGGACGGGUGAGUAACACGUGGGUAACCUACCUAUAAGACUGGGAUAACUUCGGGAAACCGGAGCUAAUACCGGAUGACAUUUUGAACCGCAUGGUUCAAAAGUGAAAGACGGUCUUGCUGUCACUUAUAGAUGGAUCCGCGCUGCAUUAGCUAGUUGGUAAGGUAACGGCUUACCAAGGCAACGAUGCAUAGCCGACCUGAGAGGGUGAUCGGCCACACUGGAACUGAGACACGGUCCAGACUCCUACGGGAGGCAGCAGUAGGGAAUCUUCCGCAAUGGGCGAAAGCCUGACGGAGCAACGCCGCGUGAGUGAUGAAGGUCUUCGGAUCGUAAAACUCUGUUAUUAGGGAAGAACAUAUGUGUAAGUAACUGUGCACGUCUUGACGGUACCUAAUCAGAAAGCCACGGCUAACUACGUG